Molecule: long non-coding RNA, 750 nt
Organism: Boleophthalmus pectinirostris (great blue-spotted mudskipper)
Lineage: Eukaryota; Metazoa; Chordata; Actinopteri; Gobiiformes; Gobiidae
Exons: 5
Source: RefSeq, a predicted model, not a curated record
GAAACAAGACAGACAGACAAAUGAGCACAUUUUUCAGAUGUAAUUAUAAUUGAUAAUGUUGUUCAUUCACCUUUUCUUUAACAAAGCGCUAAAGUCCAGCUCUCCCGAGUCUUCUUUUCCAUCGCAGCUACUGCAAAGACAUCAACAUACCAACAGGUUACACAGGAAAAUAACUAUGUUGUUUUUUUUUUUGGCUGCUGCAGAUUCAGAAAAGCAGCGGGCUUUAUUAUUAGCCUGAUGAGCAUUUCCUAGCAUCGGUUAGCACUUCCUGUCAGAGUCAGAUUCAUCAUCAGUGAAGAAUCGGGAUGAACCUCCAAAUCUCCACUACCUUAUCGAGGCUCCACUUCUCUUCUUGCCGCCCUCAUUCCUGAUAGUGACCUCUCCAGACUGCGGUUUCUCAGUGAAGAGGCCAGUCAGGUCCUGCCUUGUGUCCGAAGCCUGUCCAUCUAGAAAAACAGGGCAAAAACAGAUUAAUCAUCAGCCCACCUUCAGUUGUGGCAGCAGCGGUCUCAUCUUUCUGCGAUCCAUCUGCGGGGGCAGCAGUGGUCUCUGUCUCUGCACUCGGCUGCAUAGGUGCUUCUGCAGGUGUCUCGGCAGGUGUCUCGCCAGGAGUUGCUGCAGCUACCCCACUCUGACCCUCGGCCGUACCGAGCUCUCCUGGGAUGUAGGGCAGCCGGUCUCUGCACUCUUCGUCAGACACCUCCAGAGCUCUGUUGUCUUCAUCGUCUGAGCUGCGCUGUGAGAUCUGAG